Molecule: transfer RNA, 69 nt
Filed under: Callosobruchus analis
Lineage: Eukaryota; Metazoa; Arthropoda; Insecta; Coleoptera; Chrysomelidae
Description: tRNA-Gln
Source: RNAcentral
CUAUAUUUACCGUAAUUAAAUCGAUUCCUUAAAUAUCAAAAAUUUAUGUACAUCUUAUACUAAAAUAUA